RNAcentral lists this unclassified non-coding RNA (404 nucleotides) under Hevea brasiliensis (rubber tree). The record is from RNAcentral. Lineage: Eukaryota; Viridiplantae; Streptophyta; Magnoliopsida; Malpighiales; Euphorbiaceae.
GCAAAAGAAAUAUUGCGCAGAAGCCAAGUAAUAGUAGCUUCUCAAGGCAAACAAACCAAAGAUGCUCUAACUACAAUGAUACGGCAAUGCCUUACAUCUCAAGGUCGAUUCAAUUAAAGCUUUAAUAAAGCAAAACAAAAAGAUAAAUCCAUAACUAGUAAAUAGUAUAAUGCUUAUAUGAUUAAAAACAAUGCAUAGGAUUGCACGCACAAUAAAUAUGUUUCACAAAUUGAACAACGUAAACAUCAAUAUAAGAUAAUUUUGCAACUUGAUAUAUGAAAUAGAGAAUUUUUAUUCACCUAGUAGUCAAAUAGACACAUGCACAAAAAUGUGUUUUGAGAAGAUAAAAGGAUAGAGUUACAUUUACAAAAUAACCCAAAUGAGAUUUUUUUUUCUUUUUUUUU